This 253-nucleotide ribosomal RNA is filed under the name uncultured bacterium. Its description in RNAcentral is "partial 16S ribosomal RNA". It matches the Rfam family "Bacterial small subunit ribosomal RNA", at positions 524 to 776 of the family's 1533-position model. The record is from RNAcentral.
UACGGAGGGUGCGAGCGUUGUCCGGAAUCACUGGGCGUAAAGGGCGCGUAGGCGGCUGGGGAAGUCGGCGGUGAAAGCCCGGAGCUCAACUCCGGGUCGGCCGUCGAGACUCCUCGGCUCGAGCUCACUAGAGGCAGAUGGAAUUCCGGGUGUAGCGGUGGAAUGCGUAGAGAUCCGGAAGAACACCGGUGGCGAAGGCGGCCUGCUGGGCAGUAGCUGACGCUGAGGCGCGACAGCGUGGGUAGCAAACAGG